This 257-nucleotide ribosomal RNA is filed under the name uncultured bacterium. Its description in RNAcentral is "partial 16S ribosomal RNA". It matches the Rfam family "Bacterial small subunit ribosomal RNA", at positions 524 to 776 of the family's 1533-position model. The record is from RNAcentral.
UACAGAGACCUCAAGCGUUAUCCGGAAUCAUUGGGCGUAAAGCGUACCGAUAGGUGGUUGUACAAGUCAGAAGUGAAAUCUCCGAGCUCAACUCGGAAUCUGUCUUUUGAAACUGUACGACUAGAGGGGCAAAGAGGAAGCUGGAACGAACGGUGUAGUAGUGAAAUGCGUUGAUAUCGUUCGGAACACCAAUAGCGAAGGCGGGCUUCUGGGUGCCACCUGACACUGCUAGGACGAAAGCGUGGGGAGCGAAUGGG